This 62-nucleotide transfer RNA is filed under the name Lardoglyphus konoi. Its description in RNAcentral is "tRNA-Lys". The record is from RNAcentral. Lineage: Eukaryota; Metazoa; Arthropoda; Arachnida; Sarcoptiformes; Lardoglyphidae.
AUAGCCUUAAGAUACAAUAAUCUUUAUGUCUUUUAAACAUAGAAAGCUUUUUGCAGGCUGUU